AGAACGAACGCUGGCGGCAUGCCUAACACAUGCAAGUCGAACGAAGGCUUCGGCCUUAGUGGCGCACGGGUGCGUAACGCGUGGGAAUCUGCCCUGGGGUACGGAAUAACAGUUAGAAAUGACUGCUAAUACCGUAUGAUGACGUAAGUCCAAAGAUUUAUCGCCCUGGGAUGAGCCCGCGUAGGAUUAGCUAGUUGGUGGGGUAAAGGCCUACCAAGGCGACGAUCCUUAGCUGGUCUGAGAGGAUGAUCGACGACCAC
Molecule: ribosomal RNA, 260 nt
Filed under: uncultured soil bacterium
Lineage: Bacteria
Description: partial 16S ribosomal RNA
Rfam family: Bacterial small subunit ribosomal RNA
Source: RNAcentral